This 375-nucleotide ribosomal RNA is filed under the name uncultured eukaryote. RNAcentral's name for it is "partial 18S ribosomal RNA". It matches the Rfam family "Eukaryotic small subunit ribosomal RNA", at positions 592 to 976 of the family's 1831-position model. The record is from RNAcentral.
CAAUAGCGUAUAUUUAAGUUGUUGCAGUUAAAAAGCUCGUAGUUGGAUUUCGGUUAAGAGCGACCGGUCCGCCGUUUGGUGUGCACUGGUUGGUUUUAACUUCCUGUAGAGGACGUGCUCUGGGUUUAACGACCUGGACUCGGAGUCUACGUGGUUACUUUGAAAAAAUUAGAGUGUUCAAAGCGGGCUUACGCUUGAAUAUUUCAGCAUGGAAUAACACUAUAGGACUCCUGUCCUAUUUCGUUGGUCUCGGGACGGGAGUAAUGAUUAAGAGGAACAGUUGGGGGCAUUCGUAUUUCAUUGUCAGAGGUGAAAUUCUUGGAUUUAUGAAAGACGAACUUCUGCGAAANCANNNGCCAAGGAUGUUUNCAUNAA